AGCAGCCGCGGUAAUUCCAGCUCCAAUAGCGUAUAUUAAAGUUGUUGCAGUUAAAAAGCUCGUAGUUGAAUUUCGGGAUUUGUCAGUUGGUCGGGCUUCACUGUCCGUAUUGACUUGAUGGAUUCUUACCUUCUGAAUAACCAGCAUGCUAUUAAUUUAGUGCGUUGGGGAAGCAGAUCUAUUACCUUGAAAAAUUAGAGUGCUUAAAGCGAGCUAGUGCUUGAAUAGAUUAGCAUGGAAUAAUAAAAUAGGACGGCAUGGUUCUAUUUUGUUGGUCUCUAGGAUCACCGUAAUGAUUAAUAGGGAUAGUUGGGGGCAUUAGUAUUCAAUUGUCAGAGGUGAAAUUCUUGGAUUUAUUGAAGACUAACUUCUGCGAAAGCAUUUGCCAAGGAUGUUUUCAUUGAUCAAGAACGAAAGUUAGGGGAUCGAAGACGAUCAGAUACCGUCGUAGCCUUAACCAUAAACUAUGCCGACUAGGAAUCGGACGAUGUUAAUUUAUAAUGACUUCGG
RNAcentral lists this ribosomal RNA (510 nucleotides) under uncultured Acaulospora. RNAcentral describes it as "SSU rRNA". It matches the Rfam family "Eukaryotic small subunit ribosomal RNA", at positions 569 to 1083 of the family's 1831-position model. Lineage: Eukaryota; Fungi; Glomeromycota; Glomeromycetes; Diversisporales; Acaulosporaceae. The record is from RNAcentral.